AGUCUUUUAGUAUAUUGAGUAUGUUCUAGUGCAGGUAGAAAGGGUGAGAGAUUU
This 54-nucleotide transfer RNA is filed under the name Clavinema parasiluri. RNAcentral describes it as "tRNA-Cys". The record is from RNAcentral. Lineage: Eukaryota; Metazoa; Nematoda; Chromadorea; Rhabditida; Philometridae.